RNAcentral lists this unclassified non-coding RNA (739 nucleotides) under Hevea brasiliensis (rubber tree). Lineage: Eukaryota; Viridiplantae; Streptophyta; Magnoliopsida; Malpighiales; Euphorbiaceae. The record is from RNAcentral.
GUGCUCGAUAAAACUCUCAACUCUGCAAGAAAAGGAGGGAAAAAAAAAAAUACAAACAUAAUUAGCAUGAAACAAGGAUUCAAUUGUAUAAUAAUGUUGGAGUAUAAUUGAAAAUUAUCCAAAUGUCAUGAUAAUAGGUAACAGAGAUGCAGUGCAUGGAGAUUUACUUAAAAGAGAUAUAUAUUAUCUGGGUGUCCUUCUUGAUGAAGAUGGGCAUAUAGCAACAAAGUAAUUAGGGAGGAUCAAGCCAUGAGCACAUUAAAUAGAAAAAGUAUAAAAUAUUCAUAAAAUUAUUAUUAUUCUAAAAUGCGACAGAACGAGAUUGAAACAGUUGAAGAUAUAUAAUAGUAUUAAUUAACUAAAAGGAAAAAAAAAUUAGGGUAAUGACAGCUGAAGCCAAUCAUUUAGAGAAAAAACAAUGAGAUGAGAUUGUCUUAUUUUUUUUUUAUAAUUAUAUAAAAGAAAUCAUAAAUGAGGAACUGUUUUGGGUUUUGGACAGUGGAAAGAAUUUGAAACAAAGAGGGAAAAAAGAAACGACUGCAACUGAUUUUUGGGAACCGUGUUCAACAACUGUCAAUGAACAGUAGUUAAUUAAAAACUGGAUUAAGGAUCAAUCAGUAAAAAACCAAGGAUCAUUAAGAAAAAGAGUAGGGUUAUGAUGAGAUCUAUUGUAAAUUAAUAUUGUUGGUGAAGAUGUGAUGGAUGAAGAACAAACCUUGAGAAAACGCGGCCGCAAUCG